ACAUGAACGCUGGCGGCAGCCUAACACAUGCAAGUCGAACGGUAACAGGAAGCAGCUUGCUGCUUCGCUGACGAGUGGCGGACGGGUGAGUAAUGUCUGGGAAACUGCCUGAUGGAGGGGGAUAACUACUGGAAACGGUAGCUAAUACCGCAUAACGUCGCAAGACCAAAGAGGGGGACCUUCGGGCCUCUUGCCAUCGGAUGUGCCCAGAUGGGAUUAGCUUGUUGGUGGGGUAACGGCUCACCAAGGCGACGAUCCCUAGCUGGUCUGAGAGGAUGACCAGCCACACUGGAACUGAGACACGGUCCAGACUCCUACGGGAGGCAGCAGUGGGGAAUAUUGCACAAUGGGCGCAAGCCUGAUGCAGCCAUGCCGCGUGUAUGAAGAAGGCCUUCGGGUUGUAAAGUACUUUCAGCGGGGAGGAAGGGAGUAAAGUUAAUACCUUUGCUCAUUGACGUUACCCGCAGAAGAAGCACCGGCUAACUCCGUGCCAGCAGCCGCGGUAAUACGGAGGGUGCAAGCGUUAAUCGGAAUUACUGGGCGUAAAGCGCACGCAGGCGGUUUGUUAAGUCAGAUGUGAAAUCCCCGGGCUCAACCUGGGAACUGCAUCUGAUACUGGCAAGCUUGAGUCUCGUAGAGGGGGGUAGAAUUCCAGGUGUAGCGGUGAAAUGCGUAGAGAUCUGGAGGAAUACCGGUGGCGAAGGCGGCCCCCUGGACGAAGACUGACGCUCAGGUGCGAAAGCGUGGGAGCAACAG
This 756-nucleotide ribosomal RNA is filed under the name Enterobacteriaceae bacterium DHL-20. Its description in RNAcentral is "bacterial SSU rRNA". It matches the Rfam family "Bacterial small subunit ribosomal RNA", at positions 24 to 775 of the family's 1533-position model. The record is from RNAcentral. Lineage: Bacteria; Pseudomonadati; Pseudomonadota; Gammaproteobacteria; Enterobacterales; Enterobacteriaceae.